CAGUCGCCACGGUAAUACAGAGGGUGCGAGCGUUAUCCGGAAUUAUUGGGCGUAAAGAGCUCGUAGGCGGUUUGUCGCGUCUGCCGUGAAAGUCCGGGGCUCAACCCCGGAUCUGCGGUGGGUACGGGCAGACUAGAGUGAUGUAGGGGAGACUGGAAUUCCUGGUGUAGCGGUGAAAUGCGCAGAUAUCAGGAGGAACACCGAUGGCGAAGGCAGGUCUCUGGGCAUUAACUGACGCUGAGGAGCGAAAGCAUGGGGAGCGAACAGGAUUAGAUACCCGAGUAGUCCCUGUCUCUUAUAC
Molecule: ribosomal RNA, 301 nt
Filed under: uncultured bacterium
Lineage: Bacteria
Description: partial 16S ribosomal RNA
Rfam family: Bacterial small subunit ribosomal RNA
Source: RNAcentral